AGAGUUUGAUCAUGGCUCAGAGCGAACGCUGGCGGCAGGCCUAACACAUGCAAGUCGAACGGACCCUUCGGGGUUAGUGGCGGACGGGUGAGUAACACGUGGGAACGUGCCUUUAGGUUCGGAAUAGCUCCUUGAAACGGGUGGUAAUGCCGAAUGUGCCCUUCGGGGGAAAGAUUUAUCGCCUUUAGAGCGGCCCGCGUCUGAUUAGCUUGUUGGUGAGGUAAUGGCUCACCAAGGCUACGAUCAGUAGCUGGUCUGAGAGGAUGACCAGCCACAUUGGGACUGAGACACGGCCCAAACUCCUACGGGAGGCAGCAGUGGGGAAUCUUGCGCAAUGGGCGAAAGCCUGACGCAGCCAUGCCGCGUGGAUGAUGAAGGUCUUAGGAUUGUAAAAUCCUUUCACCGGUGAAGAUAAUGACUGUAGCCGGAGAAGAAGCCCCGGCUAACUUCGUGCCAGCAGCCGCGGUAAUGCGAAGGGGGCUAGCGUUGCUCGGAAUUACUGGGCGUAAAGGGAGCGUAGGCGGACAUUUAAGUCAGGGGUGAAAUCCCAGAGCUCAACUCUGGAACUGCCUUUGAUACUGGGUGUCUUGAGUGUGAUAGAGGUAUGUGGAACUCCGAGUGUAGAGGUGAAAUUCGUAGAUAUUCGGAAGAACACCAGUGGCGAAGGCGACAUACUGGAUCAUUACUGACGCUGAGGCUCGAAAGCGUGGGGAGCAAACAGGAUUAGAUACCCCGGUAGUCC
This 742-nucleotide ribosomal RNA is filed under the name uncultured bacterium. RNAcentral describes it as "bacterial SSU rRNA". It matches the Rfam family "Bacterial small subunit ribosomal RNA", at positions 8 to 796 of the family's 1533-position model. The record is from RNAcentral.